Molecule: ribosomal RNA, 981 nt
Filed under: Clavibacter michiganensis
Lineage: Bacteria; Bacillati; Actinomycetota; Actinomycetes; Micrococcales; Microbacteriaceae
Also listed under: 1 other name
Description: bacterial SSU rRNA
Rfam family: Bacterial small subunit ribosomal RNA
Source: RNAcentral
UUUAUGGAGAGUUUGAUCCUGGCUCAGGACGAACGCUGGCGGCGUGCUUAACACAUGCAAGUCGAACGGUGAUGUCAGAGCUUGCUCUGGCGGAUCAGUGGCGAACGGGUGAGUAACACGUGAGUAACCUGCCCCCGACUCUGGGAUAACUGCUAGAAAUGGUAGCUAAUACCGGAUAUGACGAUUGGCCGCAUGGUCUGGUCGUGGAAAGAAUUUCGGUUGGGGAUGGACUCGCGGCCUAUCAGGUUGUUGGUGAGGUAAUGGCUCACCAAGCCUACGACGGGUAGCCGGCCUGAGAGGGUGACCGGCCACACUGGGACUGAGACACGGCCCAGACUCCUACGGGAGGCAGCAGUGGGGAAUAUUGCACAAUGGGCGAAAGCCUGAUGCAGCAACGCCGCGUGAGGGAUGACGGCCUUCGGGUUGUAAACCUCUUUUAGUAGGGAAGAAGCGAAAGUGACGGUACCUGCAGAAAAAGCACCGGCUAACUACGUGCCAGCAGCCGCGGUAAUACGUAGGGUGCAAGCGUUGUCCGGAAUUAUUGGGCGUAAAGAGCUCGUAGGCGGUUUGUCGCGUCUGCUGUGAAAUCCCGAGGCUCAACCUCGGGUCUGCAGUGGGUACGGGCAGACUAGAGUGCGGUAGGGGAGAUUGGAAUUCCUGGUGUAGCGGUGGAAUGCGCAGAUAUCAGGAGGAACACCGAUGGCGAAGGCAGAUCUCUGGGCCGUAACUGACGCUGAGGAGCGAAAGCAUGGGGAGCGAACAGGAUUAGAUACCCUGGUAGUCCAUGCCGUAAACGUUGGGAACUAGAUGUGGGGACCAUUCCACGGUCUCCGUGUCGCAGCUAACGCAUUAAGUUCCCCGCCUGGGGAGUACGGCCGCAAGGCUAAAACUCAAAGGAAUUGACGGGGGCCCGCACAAGCGGCGGAGCAUGCGGAUUAAUUCGAUGCAACGCGAAGAACCUUACCAAGGCUUGACAUAUAC